GAUGAACGCUGGCGGCGUGCUUAACACAUGCAAGUCGAACGGAAAGGCCCUGCUUUUGUGGGGUGCUCGAGUGGCGAACGGGUGAGUAACACGUGAGUAACCUGCCCUUCACUUUGGGAUAACUUCAGGAAACUGGGGCUAAUACCGGAUAGGAGCAUCUGUUGCAUGGUGGGGGUGGGAGAGUUUUGGCGGUUGGGGAUGGACGCGCGGCAUAUCAGCUUGUUGGUGGGGUAGUGGCAUACCAAGGCCUUGACGGGUAGCCGGCCUGAGAGGGUGACCGGCCACAUUGGGACUGAGAUACGGCCCAGACUCCUACGGGAGGCAGCAGUGGGGAAUAUUGCACAAUGGGCGGAAGCCUGAUGCAGCAACGCCGCGUGCGGGAUGACGGCCUUCGGGUUGUAAACCGCUUUCGCCUGUGACGAAGCGUGAGUGACGGUAAUUGGUGAAGAAGCACCGGCUAACUACGUG
This 468-nucleotide ribosomal RNA is filed under the name uncultured bacterium. RNAcentral's name for it is "partial 16S ribosomal RNA". It matches the Rfam family "Bacterial small subunit ribosomal RNA", at positions 28 to 507 of the family's 1533-position model. The record is from RNAcentral.